AAGAGAAUCGGCAGGCGGUUG
This 21-nucleotide unclassified non-coding RNA is filed under the name Chlamydomonas reinhardtii. RNAcentral's name for it is "small RNA Cre_0097". The record is from RNAcentral. Lineage: Eukaryota; Viridiplantae; Chlorophyta; Chlorophyceae; Chlamydomonadales; Chlamydomonadaceae.